Molecule: ribosomal RNA, 116 nt
Filed under: Naegleria australiensis
Lineage: Eukaryota; Heterolobosea; Eutetramitea; Acrasida; Naegleriidae
Description: partial small subunit ribosomal RNA
Source: RNAcentral
AAGAAAGGCAAAAAAAAAUAAAUAUACUUUUGAACUUGCGUAGCGAUCAUUUCUGGUAAAAAGGUGAAAACCUUUUUUCCCCCCAACCUCUGCGGAACCUGCGUAAGGAUCAUUUC